Ictalurus punctatus (channel catfish) is the source of this 1196-nucleotide long non-coding RNA. Lineage: Eukaryota; Metazoa; Chordata; Actinopteri; Siluriformes; Ictaluridae. The record is from Ensembl.
UACCCACGUCCGACAUCGAAAAAACAGGUACGUGCCUUCUUGGGAUUGGCGGGCUACUACCGCAGGUUCGUGCCUAACUUUUCUGCUGUAGCCUCUCCCCUCUCAGACCUUACAAAGAAGGGCCAGCCAGACCAGGUGAGGUGGACAGCCAAUGCAGAAAGGGCCUUCCAGGCCCUAAAAGAGGCCCUCACCAGCGCGCCGAUACUCCGCAACCCGGACUUUGACCUCCCGUUCACUGUACCUACUGAUGCUUCCGAGACCGGGCUGGGCGCCGUCCUCUCCCAGACCUUCGACGGGGAAGAACACCCAGUCCUCUACAUCAGCCGGAAGCUGUCCCGGGCCGAGAGGAAGUAUGCGGCGGUCGAGCGGGAGGCACUAGCAAUAAAAUGGGCCAUUGAGGAGCUGAGAUACUAUCUGGCGGGCAGGCACUUCGUCCUCAUAACAGACCACGCCCCCCUGCAGUGGAUGGCCAAGGCGAAGGACACCAACGCCCGGGUAACCCGCUGGUUCCUCGCCUUACAAGACUUCUCCUUUCAGGUUAAGCACCGGGCGGGGGCCCAGCAUGGUAACACGGAUGGGCUCUCUCGACGAGACGCCCUCUGGGCCCACCACCGAGCGGCAGUAGGCUCGGAGCUGAGGGGGGGGUACUGUCGCGACGGGCAGAGAGCCGGCGCACACAAGAGGGAAAACGCUCCUUCUCCAACUGCUGCACCGGCACGACGUGGGCAGCUUCCUGCCGAACAUUCCGCCAGCCGGAAGGACCGCCGCGGCAGGGCGGGACUGACGCGACUCCGGCGGAUCCAACGGGGAAGUCCCACCACUCAGGCGACGGCGGAGGAGGAUAAAAGGGCGCGCUUCCGGCCGGGAAGCGGAAGAGAAUAUCGUAGCGUCAAGACGGACUCCGAGGUACAAGCGCGGACGAGACCGCCGGAUAGUGAGAGUCGCACAUACGGAGGACGCCGGCCCGGGAAAACCCCCGCCCCGCCUCAGGAAUCCCGCCUCCGCCACGAGUAGACUCCGCCGGCCGUCACGCCUCCACAAAACCCCGCACUCAUCCACUUAUAACCCAUUCACCUCAUCCUAGCCACAAUAAACCACCGUUUGCGAACAUCCUUCUGUCUCCUGUGGGUCUGUACGCCGCCCUUCCCCGGGCUAAUCCCUCACUGUAUGUAUGUAUGUAUGUAUGUAUGUAUGUA